This 393-nucleotide ribosomal RNA is filed under the name uncultured Methanosaeta sp. Its description in RNAcentral is "bacterial SSU rRNA". It matches the Rfam family "Archaeal small subunit ribosomal RNA", at positions 946 to 1338 of the family's 1478-position model. Lineage: Archaea; Methanobacteriati; Methanobacteriota; Methanomicrobia; Methanotrichales; Methanotrichaceae. The record is from RNAcentral.
UAUGAAGGUCAGGCUGAAGACCUUACCCGAUUAGCUGAGAGGUGGUGCAUGGCCGUCGUCAGUUCGUACUGUGAAGCAUCCUGUUAAGUCAGGCAACGAGCGAGACCCACGUCCACAGUUGCCAGCAUACCCUCCGGGGUGAUGGGUACACUGUGGAGACCGCCGCUGCUAAAGCGGAGGAAGGAGUGGGCAACGGUAGGUCAGUAUGCCCCGAAUCUCCCGGGCUACACGCGGGCUACAAUGGUUGGUACAAUGGGCAUCUACCCCGAAAGGGGAAGGAAAUCUCUUAAAGCCAAUCGUAGUUCGGAUUGGGGGCUGCAACUCGCCCUCAUGAAGCUGGAAUCCGUAGUAAUCGCGUUUCAACAGAACGCGGUGAAUACGUCCCUGCUCCUU